GUGGGGAAUAUUGGACAAUGGGCGAAAGCCUGAUCCAGCCAUGCCGCGUGUGUGAAGAAGGUCUUCGGAUUGUAAAGCACUUUAAGUUGGGAGGAAGGGCAUUAACCUAAUACGUUAGUGUUUUGACGUUACCGACAGAAUAAGCACCGGCUAACUUCGUGCCAGCAGCCGCGGUAAUACGAAGGGUGCAAGCGUUAAUCGGAAUUACUGGGCGUAAAGCGCGCGUAGGUGGUUCGUUAAGUUGGAUGUUAAAGCCCCGGGCUCAACCUAGGAACUGCAUCCAAAACUGGCGAGAUAGAGUACGGUAGAGGGUGGUGGAAUUUCCUGUGUAGCAGUGAAAUGCGUAGAUAUAGGAAGGAACACCAGUGGCGAAGGCGACCACCUGGACUGAUACUGACACUGAGGUGCGAAAGCGUGGGGAGCAAACAGGAUUAGAUACCCGUGUAGUCC
Molecule: ribosomal RNA, 450 nt
Filed under: uncultured bacterium
Lineage: Bacteria
Description: partial 16S ribosomal RNA
Rfam family: Bacterial small subunit ribosomal RNA
Source: RNAcentral